UCCGUAGGCGGGCAAUUAAGUCAGAGGUGAAAUCCCACAGCUCAACUGUGGAACUGCCUUUGAUACUGGUUGUCUUGAGUUAUAGUGAAGUAGAUAGAAUAUGUAGUGUAGCGGUGAAAUGCAUAGAUAUUACAUAGAAUACCGAUUGCGAAGGCAGUCUACUAACUAUAUACUGACGCUGAUGGACGAAAGCGUGGGGAGCGAACAGGAUUAGAUACCCUGGUAGUCC
RNAcentral lists this ribosomal RNA (229 nucleotides) under uncultured bacterium. RNAcentral's name for it is "partial 16S ribosomal RNA". It matches the Rfam family "Bacterial small subunit ribosomal RNA", at positions 568 to 796 of the family's 1533-position model. The record is from RNAcentral.